CACCGCGGUUAUACGAGAGACCCAAGUUGUUAGACAUCGGCGUAAAGAGUGGUUAAGAUUUAUCCAGGACUAAAGCCGAACGCCCUCAGAGCAGUUAUACGCACCCGAAGGUAAGAAGCCCAAUCACGAAAGUGGCUUUAUAACAUCCGAACCCACGAAAGCUAUGACA
RNAcentral lists this ribosomal RNA (169 nucleotides) under Lutjanus sebae (emperor red snapper). RNAcentral's name for it is "partial small subunit ribosomal RNA". Lineage: Eukaryota; Metazoa; Chordata; Actinopteri; Lutjaniformes; Lutjanidae. The record is from RNAcentral.